Molecule: ribosomal RNA, 460 nt
Filed under: uncultured bacterium
Lineage: Bacteria
Description: partial 16S ribosomal RNA
Rfam family: Bacterial small subunit ribosomal RNA
Source: RNAcentral
CCUACGGGAGGCAGCAGUGAGGAAUAUUGGUCAAUGGCCGGAAGGCUGAACCAGCCAUGCCGCGUGAAGGUCAGUGCCCUAUGGGCGUUAAACUUCUUUUGUGCGGGAGCAAUAAUGGUCACGUGUGGCCAGACGAGAGUACCGUACGAAUAAGCAUCGGCUAACUCCGUGCCAGCAGCCGCGGUAAUACGGGGGAUGCAAGCGUUAUCCGGAUUUAUUGGGUUUAAAGGGUGCGUAGGCUGUGAGGUAAGUCAGCGGUGAAAUGCCCCCGCUCAACGGGGUGAAGUGCCAUUGAUACUGCCUGGCUGGAAUGCGGAUGCCGGGGGAGGAAUGUGUGGUGUAGCGGUGAAAUGCAUAGAUAUCACACAGAACACUGAUUGCGAAGGCAUCUCACGAAUCCGCGAUUGACGCUGAUGCACGAAAGCGUGGGUAUCAAACAGGAUUAGAUACCCUUGUAGUC